This 351-nucleotide ribosomal RNA is filed under the name uncultured eukaryote. RNAcentral describes it as "partial small subunit ribosomal RNA". The record is from RNAcentral.
UCUUGCAGUUGGUUUUUUGAAGCCGCACCUUCCUUUUACAUGCCCUGAAAAGUACUGGGAUCUGUACGAUCGAGAUAAGAUCAAUCCGGCGGACAAUCCGUAUCUGCCGAAGAAUGUUACGAAGUAUUCAGGGACGAGUUGGGGGGAGCUUAGGAGCUAUUCGGAUAUUCCGAGGGAAGGGCCUGUCAGCGAUGAGAAGGCAAGGGAAUUGAUACAUGGUUAUUACGCGUGCGUGAGCAGCACCGAUGCCCAGAUUGGGCGGGUGGUCGAUGAGCUGGAUCGGCUCGGAUUGAGAGAGAAUACGAUUAUAGUGCUCUGGGGCGACCACGGGUGGAAGCUGGGCGAGCAUGG